AUGAAGUAAAUCUCCUGUCAAAGGAUUGGAGAGAAGGAACCAACCGUCUUUCACUCACCCACUUAGAACCUUCUGGAAGCCCUGACUGCCUUGCUGUAAGGUCGGCUGAAUGGAAAGAGACAAAGGCUGUUGGCCCUGAUAACAGAGGACAUGGAGAACACUGACGGGCCAGCACAGAGAGGUGUCAAACCUACAUUGCAGCCUGAAGGAUGUCUUCACUUCCUCCUGCUCCUUCGCCUUGUAUCCUUCAUAGAUUUUUCCCGCAAUAAAAC
Molecule: long non-coding RNA, 272 nt
Filed under: Homo sapiens (human)
Lineage: Eukaryota; Metazoa; Chordata; Mammalia; Primates; Hominidae
Description: HSALNT0327227
Source: RNAcentral